RNAcentral lists this ribosomal RNA (253 nucleotides) under uncultured bacterium. Its description in RNAcentral is "partial 16S ribosomal RNA". It matches the Rfam family "Bacterial small subunit ribosomal RNA", at positions 524 to 776 of the family's 1533-position model. The record is from RNAcentral.
UACGUAGGGUGCAAGCGUUAAUCGGAAUUACUGGGCGUAAAGCGUGCGCAGGCGGUUGGCAAAGUCAGCUGUGAAAGCCCCGGGCUUAACCUGGGAAUGGCGGUUGAAACUAGUCGACUAGAAUCUGGCAGAGGGGGGUGGAAUUCCACGUGUAGCAGUGAAAUGCGUAGAGAUGUGGAGGAAUACCGAUGGCGAAGGCAGCCCCCUGGGAUAACACUGACGCUCAUGCACGAAAGCGUGGGGAGCGAACAGG